This 406-nucleotide ribosomal RNA is filed under the name uncultured bacterium. Its description in RNAcentral is "partial 16S ribosomal RNA". It matches the Rfam family "Bacterial small subunit ribosomal RNA", at positions 30 to 526 of the family's 1533-position model. The record is from RNAcentral.
AUUGAACGCUGGCGGUAGGCCUAACACAUGCAAGUCGAACGAGUGGCGGACGGGUGAGUAAUACCUCGGAAUCUACUCUGUCGUGGGGGAUAACGUCUGGAAACUUUCGCUAAUACCGCAUACGAUUGGAUGUGCCGAUGUGGGAUUAGCUAGUUGGCGGGGUAAAGGCCCACCAAGGCGACGAUCCGUAGCUGGUCUGAGAGGAUGAUCAGCCACACUGGAACUGAGACACGGUCCAGACUCCUACGGGAGGCAGCAGUGGGGAAUAUUGGACAAUGGGCGCAAGCCUGAUCCAGCCAUACCGCGUGGGUGAAGAAGGCCUUCGGGUUGUAAAGCACUUUUGUUGGGAAAGCGGUACCCAAAGAAGAAGCACUGGCUAACUUCGUGCCAGCAGCCGCGGUAAUAC